This is a transfer RNA of Aspergillus nidulans FGSC A4, 83 nucleotides long. It matches the Rfam family "tRNA". Rfam says of the family: Transfer RNA (tRNA) molecules are approximately 80 nucleotides in length. Their secondary structure includes four short double-helical elements and three loops (D, anti-codon, and T loops). NCBI's taxonomy places the organism in Eukaryota, Fungi, Ascomycota, Eurotiomycetes, Eurotiales, Aspergillaceae. The record is from Rfam.
GGCCGGGUGGCCUAAUGGUAAGGCGUCAGAUUUCGGUUAUCUUUAACCUCUGAAGAUUGCGCGUUCGAGUCGCGUCUCGGUCG